UCGGAAUCACUGGGCGUAAAGCGCACGUAGGCGGCUUUCUACGUCAGGGGUGAAAUCCUGGAGCUCAACUCCAGAACUGCCUUUGAUACUGGAGAGCUUGAGUCCGGAAGAGGUGAGUGGAACUCCGAGUGUAGAGGUGAAAUUCGUAGAUAUUCGGAAGAACACCAGUGGCGAAGGCGGCUCACUGGUCCGGUACUGACGCUGAGGUGCGAAAGCGUGGGGAGCAAACAGG
Molecule: ribosomal RNA, 232 nt
Filed under: uncultured bacterium
Lineage: Bacteria
Description: partial 16S ribosomal RNA
Rfam family: Bacterial small subunit ribosomal RNA
Source: RNAcentral